RNAcentral lists this ribosomal RNA (301 nucleotides) under uncultured bacterium. RNAcentral describes it as "partial 16S ribosomal RNA". It matches the Rfam family "Bacterial small subunit ribosomal RNA", at positions 509 to 807 of the family's 1533-position model. The record is from RNAcentral.
CAGUAGCCGCGGGAAGAAAGAGGAUGCAAGCGUUAUCUGGAAUGAUUGGACGUAAAGCAUCUGUAGGUGGCUUUUCAAGUUCGUCGCCAAAUCCCAAGGCUCAACCCUGGACAGGCGGUGGAAACUAGCAAGCUAGAGUACAAUAGGGGCAGAGGGAAUUUCUAGUGGAGCGGUGAAAUGCAUUGAGAUCGGAAAGAACACGAACGGUGAAAGCACUCUGCUGGGCCGACACUGACACUGAGAGAUGAAAACUAGGGGAGAAAAUGGUAUUAGAUACCCCUGUAGUCCCUGUCUCUUAUAC